GCUCGUUUUCGGAUGAGUGGAGAGUGGCGCACGGGUGAGUAACACGUAGCUAACCUGCCCCGAAGAGGCGGAUAACUGUCGGAAACGACUGCUAAUACGCCAUAAGCUCACUAAGUGAGAAAAGCUUUGGCGCUUUGGGAUGGGGCUGCGGCCCAUCAGCUAGUUGGUAAGGUAACGGCUUACCAAGGCGACGACGGGUAGGGGACCUGAGAGGGUGACCCCCCACACUGGGACUGAGACACGGCCCAGACUCCUACGGGAGGCAGCAGUGAGGAAUAUUGCACAAUGGGCGCAAGCCUGAUGCAGCAACGCCGCGUGGGUGAAGAAGGUUUUCGGAUCGUAAAACCCUUUUCUGUGUGACGAGGAAGGACGGUAGCACAGGAAAAAGUCUCGGCUAACUACGUGCCAGCAGCCGCGGUAAAACGUAGGAGGCGAGCGUUAUCCGGAGUUACUGGGCGUAAAGCGCGUGCAGGCGGAUUGGAUAGUCAUCUAUGAAAGCUCCCGGCUAAACUGGGAGAGGCUGGAUGAUACUACCAGUCUAGAGUCUGGAAGAGGGAUGUGGAAUUCCGGGUGUAGUGGUGAAAUGCGUAGAUAUCCGGAGGAACACCAGUGGCGAAGGCGACAUCCUGGUCCAAGACUGACGCUGAGACGCGAAAGCGUGGGUAGCGAACGGGAUUAGAAACCCCGGUAGUCCACGCCGUAAACGAUGCACACUAAACGCUCGUUGUCCGAGAGGGCAGUGGGUGUUGCAGCAAACGCGAUAAGUGUGCCGCCUGGGGAGUACGGUCGCAAGGCUAAAACUCAAAGGGAAUUGACGGGGGCCCGCACAAGCAGCGGANCGUGUGGNUUAAUUCGAGG
RNAcentral lists this ribosomal RNA (858 nucleotides) under marine bacterium enrichment culture clone O07-H4-S7. RNAcentral's name for it is "bacterial SSU rRNA". It matches the Rfam family "Bacterial small subunit ribosomal RNA", at positions 72 to 956 of the family's 1533-position model. The record is from RNAcentral.